Molecule: transfer RNA, 67 nt
Filed under: Proechimys kulinae
Lineage: Eukaryota; Metazoa; Chordata; Mammalia; Rodentia; Echimyidae
Description: tRNA-Thr
Rfam family: tRNA
About the family: Transfer RNA (tRNA) molecules are approximately 80 nucleotides in length. Their secondary structure includes four short double-helical elements and three loops (D, anti-codon, and T loops). Further hydrogen bonds mediate the characteristic L-shaped molecular structure. tRNAs have two regions of fundamental functional importance: the anti-codon, which is responsible for specific mRNA codon recognition, and the 3' end, to which the tRNAs corresponding amino acid is attached (by aminoacyl-tRNA synthetases). tRNAs cope with the degeneracy of the genetic code in two manners: having more than one tRNA (with a specific anti-codon) for a particular amino acid; and 'wobble' base-pairing, i.e. permitting non-standard base-pairing at the 3rd anti-codon position.
Source: RNAcentral
GCCUUAGUAGUAUAAAAAUUACAUUGGUUUUGUAAACCAAAAACGAAGUAUCAUACUUCCUAAGACA